This 497-nucleotide ribosomal RNA is filed under the name uncultured bacterium. Its description in RNAcentral is "partial 16S ribosomal RNA". It matches the Rfam family "Bacterial small subunit ribosomal RNA", at positions 28 to 507 of the family's 1533-position model. The record is from RNAcentral.
GAUGAACGCUGGCGGCGUGCCUAAUACAUGCAAGUCGAGCGAACGGACGAGAAGCUUGCUUCUCUGAUGUUAGCGGCGGACGGGUGAGUAACACGUGGAUAACCUACCUAUAAGACUGGGAUAACUUCGGGAAACCGGAGCUAAUACCGGAUAAUAUUUUGAACCGCAUGGUUCAAAAGUAAAAGACGGUCUUGCUGUCACUUAUAGAUGGAUCCGCGCUGCAUUAGCUAGUUGGUAAGGUAACGGCUUACCAAGGCAACGAUGCAUAGCCGACCUGAGAGGGUGAUCGGCCACACUGGAACUGAGACACGGUCCAGACUCCGACGGGAGGCAGCAGUAGGGAAUCUUCCGCAAUGGGCGAAAGCCUGACGGAGCAACGCCGCGUGAGUGAUGAAGGUCUUCGGAUCGUAAAACUCUGUUAUUAGGGAAGAACAUAUGUGUAAGUAACUGUGCACAUCUUGACGGUACCUAAUCAGAAAGCCACGGCUAACUACGUG